This 1442-nucleotide long non-coding RNA is filed under the name Theobroma cacao (cacao). RNAcentral describes it as "long non-coding RNA (TCAC_LNC000495)". The record is from RNAcentral. Lineage: Eukaryota; Viridiplantae; Streptophyta; Magnoliopsida; Malvales; Malvaceae.
CUCCAAGGUUGUUAAAAAGUUAUGUACGCAUAAAUCAUGUUUUUAUUUUGAAAACAUAGACGUUCCUUGGUGUUGGCUAAGUUCACCCUCACGUGGUGGUUUGGCAUGAAGUGAACUCUAAAGUUAUACCUCGGGAGUUACCCUACUCGCCUUUCCAACAGAGGUAAAAUAUAACCGGAUUUCGUGCCCCUCUAAUAGGCUGGUCCAUAGAACCCGCCCACUGCAGCAAGCUAAACCCACCAUACAAUAAAAUUUUGAUAACAUGACAUGACUAAUAUUAUACUACCCAGCCUGUAAAUGUAAAACAGAACAAUUCAUACAGUUCACAAACCACAAUUCCAGCCAGUCAUGCCAACACAUUAUGAUAAGCCAUAAAUUAGAACCAUAAAUUUACAACACAUCAAGUGGUCUCCAGUUACUCUAUUUUGAAAGCCAUCAUUCAAUUUCAAAACAAUUUUAUGAAAUCAUUUCAUUAAAUCACAUUUGGUUUAUAAAUCCGAAAAAUUAAUCAUUUAAUUCAUUUUCCAUAAAAUUCACAAAAUCAAAUAAAACAUACUUUAGAUAAUUAAGACGAUAGUGAGGUUACUCACUAUUUCGGGAGUCGAAUUCCAAGUACUCCGAUUCUUGAUCCUUGGGUACUAUCUCUUUACUUUUGCCAGAAUGCUCACCACCUAGACAUAAUGCACAAUAAGCCAUUUACUACAUUGUGCUAAAUUAUUAUAAAACCAAUUUAGGCUUUAUACUAAUGUAUGAAAUGGGAUGCAAAUUGUUUGGAUUAUUGUCUAAACACGGUGUUCUACACAAAUUCAAUUGUGUACCUAGAUAAAACGGUAUUGGUGUAAUUUGAUCUAUCACUCGAUUAAUUGGCCAAUACGUCCAAUUCAACUCCAAAUAAUUUCAUUUUUCUCCCAAUACUCCAAAUCAUCAAACACAAAUUAAAUAACUUGAAAUAUGGCAAAAUCAUCCUCACAUUUUCUCUUGGAAAAUUCAGCCAUGGUGGGUGCAUCAACACUAUAAUUUUUCCUACUUGAUUCUCACACCAUAAAUCACUAAUUCUUAACCAAAUCACUUGAAAUAAAAAUCAAAAUCAUCCUCAAUAUUCCACAUGGAGAAUUUGACCAAUGAUGGGUGAUGGAAGAACAUGAAUUUUUCUUGCUUGAUUUUCAUGCUAUACAUCACUAACUAACUAAAAACAAUAAAAUAUCUUAAAAUCUAACCAAAUCAAGCAUCAAAACCUCUCUCUAAAUGUUUAGCCAGCAAGAUACCCAUCAUGAAAUCAUGUGAUUCAACCAUGGAAAAUGCAAAAGAAUGCAUGGAAAAGGUAAAUCACAAGUCAAAAUCAAGAAAUUUUACGUUUGAUUGCUUGAUUACUUGAAAUCCACCAAUUUUCUCUUGAAUUUUCACCCUAGGGUUCUUGUUCUUUCUUUUCUCCCUUUGUUCUU